This 253-nucleotide ribosomal RNA is filed under the name uncultured bacterium. RNAcentral's name for it is "partial 16S ribosomal RNA". It matches the Rfam family "Bacterial small subunit ribosomal RNA", at positions 524 to 776 of the family's 1533-position model. The record is from RNAcentral.
UACGUUUUGGGCAAGCGUUGUUCGGAAUUACUGGGCGUAAAGGGCUCGUAGGCGGCCAACUAAGUCAGACGUGAAAUCCCUCGGCUUAACCGGGGAACUGCGUCUGAUACUGGAUGGCUUGAGUUUGGGAGAGGGAUGCGGAAUUCCAGGUGUAGCGGUGAAAUGCGCAGAUAUCAGGAGGAACACCGAUGGCGAAGGCAGCUCGCUGGGACGUGACUGACGCUGAGACGCGAAAGCGUGGGGAGCAAACAGG